This 425-nucleotide ribosomal RNA is filed under the name uncultured bacterium. RNAcentral's name for it is "partial 16S ribosomal RNA". It matches the Rfam family "Bacterial small subunit ribosomal RNA", at positions 354 to 796 of the family's 1533-position model. The record is from RNAcentral.
GUGGGGAAUAUUGGACAAUGGGCGCAAGCCUGAUCCAGCCAUGCCGCGUGAGUGAUGAAGGCCCUAGGGUUGUAAAGCUCUUUCACCGGUGAAGAUAAUGACGGUAACCGGAGAAGAAGCCCCGGCUAACUUCGUGCCAGCAGCCGCGGUAAUACGAAGGGGGCUAGCGUUGUUCGGAAUUACUGGGCGUAAAGCGCACGUAGGCGGACAUUUAAGUCAGGGGUGAAAUCCCGGGGCUCAACCCCGGAACUGCCUUUGAUACUGGGUGUCUGGAGUGUGGAAGGGGUAAGUGGAAUUCAGAGUGUAGAGGUGAAAUUCGUAGAUAUUCGGAGGAAAACCAGUGGCGAAGGCGGCUUACUGGUCCAUUACUGACGCUGAGGUGCGAAAGCGUGGGGAGCAAACAGGAUUAGAUACCCCAGUAGUCC